AACGAACGCUGGCGGCAUGCCUAACACAUGCAAGUCGAACGAAGCCUUCGGGCUUAGUGGCGCACGGGUGCGUAACGCGUGGGAAUCUGCCCUUGGGUUCGGAAUAACAGUUAGAAAUGACUGCUAAUACCGGAUGAUGUCUUCGGACCAAAGAUUUAUCGCCCAAGGAUGAGCCCGCGUAGGAUUAGGUAGUUGGUGGGGUAAUGGCCCACCAAGCCGAAGAUCCUUAGCUGGUCUGAGAGGAUGAUCAGCCACACUGGGACUGAGACACGGCCCAGACUCCUACGGGAGGCAGCAGUGGGGAAUAUUGGACAAUGGGCGAAAGCUUGAUCCAGCAAUGCCGCGUGAGUGAUGAAGGCCUUAGGGUUGUAAAGCUCUUUUACCAGGGAUGAUAAUGACAGUACCUGGAGAAUAAGCUCCGGCUAACUCCGUGCCAGCAGCCGCGGUAA
This 449-nucleotide ribosomal RNA is filed under the name uncultured bacterium. Its description in RNAcentral is "partial 16S ribosomal RNA". It matches the Rfam family "Bacterial small subunit ribosomal RNA", at positions 29 to 523 of the family's 1533-position model. The record is from RNAcentral.